AUGAGGAGAAUCACAAAUCAGGAAGCACUCAAGAUCAUCUCAUCAGUUUUUGUAUUUUCACCUCAACGAGGGGCAUGUCCAGCCCAACCUUACUCACACCUCCUAUUUCCAAGAGCUAGGUUCUGCACCUGCUUCCGGCCUACUUGAGAUCUUCCAGAAAGAAGUCUGCAGCAUUUCCACCGCUCAGCCAUGUUCCUGUUGCUCAUCCCAGUACUGGGGCUGCCUUUUUCUCUGAGGGAUGCCAGAGCCCAGUCAGUGACUCAGCCUGAUAAACAUGUUACCGUCUCUGAAGAAGGCUUGCUGGAGCUAAAGUGCAACUAUUCCUUUGCUGGAGCUCCUUAUCUCUUCUGGUAUGUCCAGUACCCCAGCCAAGGCCUCCAGCUGCUCCUGAAGUAUUUAUCAGGUCCCCCCCUGGUUGAAGGCAUCAAAGGUUUCAAGGCUGAAUUUAAGAAGGAUGAAACCUCCUUCUACCUGAGGAAAACGUCAGCCCUUUGGAGUGACUCGGCCAAGUACUUCUGUGUUUUGGGUGACACAGUGCCCGAGUCUGCAGGGGGAGCUGAACACAAACUCUGA
Phacochoerus africanus (Common warthog) is the source of this 573-nucleotide non-coding RNA. NCBI's taxonomy places the organism in Eukaryota, Metazoa, Chordata, Mammalia, Artiodactyla, Suidae. The record is from the annotation of a RefSeq genome assembly.